AUGAAAUGAAGACCAAUUGUACAUGAGCAGGAAACUGCCUAGGAAUAGUCUACAGCACGUUACCCAAGAGUAAAGCGUUAUUUUAAGUAGAGAUGCAAUCCAGCAGCAAUGUGCCUUACAUAGAACAACUGGCAGGAACCUCCCUAAGCUGCGAACCCUGAAGAAAGCUUGAAUAGACGUGACCGUUUUUUCCCCACAGAGUGCCUUGUUCAUUAAGGCAUCGGCAGAAGAGUCUGUAUCCUUUACGCAAUUACUCAGCAAGUGCUUUUAAAGACGCUGUAAUAGACUCAGGAAAGUCAUCUUCUCUCAGCAGAGGAAAUUCAAGACUGUUCUCUUGACCACCAGGCUGGUCUAGAACUAGAGACACUCACUCCUGCUGUGUUGGCCACUGAGUUUGGCCACUUCAGUAAAAGAUCAGUUUUUGACUGAAGAAGAAAUGAAUUACGAACUGGACAAAGAAAAAGAGGAACAAAAAUAUCAUUAUCAGCAUCAAAUACCCUAAGGCUGAUUUGUUAAAGCACUGCCACCUUCAUUCAUUUCAAAAGCGCACGAACAAAAGGUAACAGCUACGCAUGACAAGUGGAUGAAUUUACACAGACAUCAACGCUGCACAGAAGAACUACAGGAGAGGUAUUUGCGGCUGCAGUUCAGAACAACCCAGUACUCAGCAUCAUUGUAACUAACAGUGGUAAAAGCCACUCCAGGACCUGCUAGGAAGAUAUUGAAAGGAAGGCAAGAUUCUCAAGACUAAGGCAGCUCCACCAAAGAUACGAAAAGACUGAAAAGAAAUCCAGCAACCUGAAAAAGAAACUCAACUUUUUUCAUUACUGAUUAAAACAACUUCAUUUCGGAAGAGCUGUCUCCACACCACCUGAAUGUUCCAAAAGAGCAAAACUCCACAACACAACACAAGACAACGCAACGCAACACUUUCAUGAAUUCUAUUUGGUAAAAGGUAACGCUUUUCACAGCAUGCAGUAACUCACUCAACUUUUAAUAUUGCACUUACCCUCAGCAGGCAGUUUCACAAUUCGUAUUGAAGAGAUUUAACUGCAGCAAUGAUAUCAGACAACUGUUUCAGCCAGAAUUACUUUAUCAACACUUGACUUACAUCCUUUGCACUACUAACACUCUAACAACUGCAGGGGAACAGGUCAUGGCUUGCACUGGUGAUUGAGCACCUGGUGAAGGGGUGUGGCUGGCCCAGGGAGCACAGGCAGACUGUUUGCACCUGUGCUCCCCAGCGCACCAGAAGGGGUGGACACAGGUGGAGCCCCCUGAGCUCAUAUAAGGGCCAGCCAUUGAAGGGAGAGCAUGGCUUGGAUCUGGGCUGCUUCUGAGGAGGGGUACUGCACAGCCAUAAUCUGCUUCACCAGCUGGGUGAGUGCUAUUCUUCUUUCUGAGCAGGACUAUUGGUCUACCUACAAAUGCUUUGGUAUCACCAAAAACCUGACAAAAAAGAUUUUUUUUUUCUUUGUGAGUAGAAUAACAGCUUAGCCUUUGUAAUUAAGUUUUACAUGCAGACAAUGCAAAUUUACCAGUUACCACAGCGUUAAAAUAGUAAACAAGUCUUUAGGAUGCUUUUGAAAAAGUUUUUGUGAUGAAAAAUGGUCUUGGAAAUUAAAGAAAAAACACUUGCAGUAGAACUAUCAACAGGCUUGCAGGACUUUGUGGAAGAAUCUGUGAUUUUCACAAAUUACUGAUACAUGACAGUAUGAUAUGACAUGUACCGUUGGGAAGCAACAAGCUCUAUUAGGAGUUUUUUGUUAAGGAACAAAUUAUUAAAACUGUUUCCUUCCACAAGAAAAGCCACUAAGGCAACAACAAAAAAUUACCAAAAGUAACUGUAAUACAUACCAACUCAGCACAGAGUAGCUGCAGCUUUGUUUAAGCCAGCUAACAAGGGUAAAAAAAGAUAUGACAAUACUACAGGUCCUAUGAAUGCAGCACAGGGGUAAGUCUCUGGGGAGUGGGGAAGACCAGAGAAAACAACCCCAGCAAUGGCAGCAGGAAAGAACCCCCUGCUGCCAUCACUGCCCUCAACUCUCACAUGCUCAUGAACAACCAUUUCUGUCGCUCCCUGUGCAAUAGCUCCUAAGGCUUCAUAAUGGGGAAAAUAUCAGAGAGGAUGAAGGAUAGAGGAGGCUGGAAGGAGAUACGUGGUAUCUGUUUUAUUUAGCAUAUUUUUCCACUUGAUACACAUGUGAGAGAAAUGAUAAGGUUCUCUAAUUUUCAAUAGCCUUUUCUAGAUGUAAGUACAACACUGACACAGACUGACCAGAGCUGGACAAUGUUGUCACCCUUCUUGCUUUUGUUACUUUUGAAUCCUUGUCUGCUAGAAAUUAGCUACUAAGCUGUAAUAAACUGCAGGAAACAGAAUGGGGACUUGGGUCUGUGCUAACACAACUUUAAGCAAAACAGCUCUCCAAUGUCUUUGUAUCUACAACCAUGACAGAACACUGACACCAUGCAACAGUACCAGAACAUUUCAGAAGAGGUCAGAUAUAAUAGUUAGAACAAUACAUGAUUACCUUAAUAAUCCAACAUCAGAGUGUAACUGUCAUCUGACAGGAAAAGUCCUUCAAUUUACCACUUGCCCUACUCAAAAUCAGUAUAUUUUUAGCAGCAAUGACUUCAGUUCUUCAAUACUUGGUAACAUUUACUUAAGUAAAUAUAAUGGUUUUCCUACUGUGUAUAAUAAUCCCCUCACCAGACUCACAAUAACAUUUUCAUAUUAAAACUUUCAACUUACACUCUGAUGUCUGCAAGAGAAAGACCAGAAUCAAUGGAGGUUCAAUCAUCUUUCUGACUACAGUAUCUUACAUGCAUAAGAUGAAACUAGAAAUACAGUGACACACAAAAAUCUCUUUCUGUGACUAAAAAAAUUUCACCCCUAUUUUCACAGUAGCUCUGGAAUUCCUAGCCUUCCCCUCACGCCUCUUCUUUCCCUCCCUGGUAUUUAAAACUAGGUACUUACUACUUCUUCCUGCUACGUGCCUUUUGAAAAUAAGACGCCAUUUUGAAUGAAUACUGUUUUUAGGUGAUUACAUUGCUCUCAGAGGACCAAGAAGAAACACUAAUCCUUUGCUAAUCUGAAUAGCUACUGUAACAGGUAGUUACAGCACAACUUUAUCCAGUAGCACUCUAACCUUGUAGACAUUCCUAAAGAUGGAAAGCAUUCUAAGUGUGUACUCAUUACCUGUGACAGCCAAUUAUGAUAGAGAAAUAGUUUGAAUCUUUAGGAGGAUUUACUUAAUAAUACGACGCUACUUUAAGUUAAGUUUCCUGAAAAUUAACACAAGUUAGUUAUACUCCAUGUAGAAAUACAGUAAAUUUGACUACUCAUCGCUCUGCUGUUGUUUCUACACCAUCUUAAAUCUUUGUCAGUAAUAAAGACAUAUUGAUAACCUUUUUCAUAAAACUGACCUGCUUCAGCUGUAAAUCAGCAUAUGUCAUCUUCCAGCUAUUGCACAGAAUGGUGUAAAGUCCCAUAAUGCCAGCAUCCGUAAGUCUUUAUUCUUAGGGCUAAAAUACAAGUGGAACAUCUCUCGCUCUGCUAUGUCUCUGUAACAAGUUCUAGAUAUUACCAGCAGGAUCCUCAGUAUGAGCAGAUGUUAAAAAGAAGCUGUGAGGAACACUGUGUCAAUUCUUAUCUACUUAAAAGUUCAGUAAUAAAACUACUAGUGAACAUACCAGAACAGACUACUUGAUUAUUUCUACAAUCUUUUGCUUCAUUUAUUGAGUGAGAUAUUUCCACUUUUCUACUGCUUAGAUGGUGAUCUAGUUUAUUUCAUGCCUGGGACUUAUCUUCAGCACUAUUCCUCAUACUAUUUGCCUGAGUUAGAUUUAACUCUGUCCCAGUUUGACAGUUUCUUUUCUCCUUCAGUGGCUGAAAGACAUUUUAAGAAGUAAUAGAAAUGUUAGUGGCCACAGAGAUAAGACUAAUAGAGCAUGAAGAUGUUCAAUAAAGAGCACAAAGAAAUCACAUCUUUUCAGGGGAUGGGGAGUGGAAGGGGAAGAAACCCCUUUAUUAAAAAAUCCAGACACUGAAGGAGAGGCAAAGGAGCGUAUGUUCAUAAUUCCACAAAUAUAAAUAAAUAAAAAUGACUGAAGAAGCAACAGACUGGCUUUACAGCUGAAAUAAUGUCAGUGGCUUGAGGAACUGGAGAAAUAAGGCGUUCACAGAUACUGAUAAUCAAGACAUCAUGAGACUCACUCUUGAAAAAACAAAGCAUCUUAAAAUCAACUGUAUGAACCAUUACCUAUAAAAGUUAGCUGAGCUGUCUCAUGCAUUCCUGUAAAUCAACAGGUGUUCCCUGUACCGUGGUUUGCCUUACUAAAAAAAAUAGCAGGAUGUUGUAAUACACAGGAAGUUUGAAACAAUUUACAUCAACUCAUUACUCCACGGGAGAAUAAUAUUUUGAAUUAAAAACUGAGAGCAAUGGCGUCAAGACAUGAAAAGAGAGCAGACUCGAAAUUACAAAAAUCUGUCAGUUCCUUUUCCACAUUAUUUUUAAUAAUCUUUUGAGAGAUUCACAUCUGGUAAGCUUUGCUUUUUUGUUGUUUUUUUGUUUUGUUUUGUUUUUGAAUCACUGUUCAUGUCUUUCUCUGAUGCUGAGUCAGAGAAACACCGGCAGAAGGACCCUUCAUUGCAAGUCAUAUGAAUUCCUUAAAAUGGCUUGGCUUUUUGAUUACCUGAAGAUGAAAUUUCUUAAGUAGUAUCAAGUAAAUUCCUUAGUAUCACUUACCUCUUUGUUCUAUUAGAGCAAAAAUCCUCCCUGAAGUACAUUAAUUUGAGUAUCACCCACUGAGAUGAAAAUCAUAUGUCAACUUAGGCGCAAUACACCAGUUCUGUAUUCUGCUAUCCUCCACACACACCCAAGGGCAUAAGCUUAUAUUCUUGUUUCAGAACUUAUAUUGUUUCCAAGGAUGGUUUAGCUAGUGAUUUUUCUGUUCCUCUGUUUUUAUAAGAAAUUUCUUAGCAGAGAAAAGCUGAUUAAACAGGUAGCAAAGUAUAAAGGUUUGCUGGUUUGGAUGUAUUAUAUGUUAUCAAUAAAUAUGUAAAUUCAUUUUUCGGCUCAAUGGAGUUUUAUAAGUUAUUGCGUUCCCGACCAGAGGACCAGGAGGAACAGAUGAGAAGAGCACAGAGCUAUGUGUGGGUAUGAUUCCUCAGUCCCACAGACAGUGGUUCCAUUCCUCCACCAUAUGAAUGGCAACCCAGCUGUAGUAGCUGUGUGAGAUACUGCUCCACACUGAGUGCACCUUUACCCCUGCAGAGGAGGAGACACUGCACGUACUGACAGGUUUUUUCCCUU
This 5315-nucleotide long non-coding RNA is filed under the name Gallus gallus (chicken). RNAcentral describes it as "lncRNA (ENSGALG00010026317.1)". Lineage: Eukaryota; Metazoa; Chordata; Aves; Galliformes; Phasianidae. The record is from RNAcentral.